GAUGAACGCUGACAGAAUGCUUAACACAUGCAAGUCAACUUGAAUUUGGGUUUUUAACUUAGGUUUGGGUGGCGGACGGGUGAGUAACGCGUAAAGAACUUGCCUCACAGCUAGGGACAACAUUUGGAAACGAAUGCUAAUACCUAAUAUUAUGAUAAUAGGGCAUCCUAUAAUUAUGAAAGCUAUAAGCGCUGUGAGAGAGCUUUGCGUCCCAUUAGCUAGUUGGAGAGGUAACGGCUCACAAAGGCGAUGAUGGGUAGCCGGCCUGAGAGGGUGAUCGGCCACAAGGGGACUGAGACACGGCCCUUACGCCUACGGGAGGCAGCAGUGGGAAAUAUUGGACGAUGGACCAAGAGUCUGAUCCAGCAAUUCUGUGUGCAAGAUGAAGUUUUUCGGAAUGUAAAGUGCUUUAAGUUGGGAAGAAAGAAAUGACGGUACCAACAGAAGAAGUGACGGCUAAAUACGUG
This 467-nucleotide ribosomal RNA is filed under the name uncultured bacterium. Its description in RNAcentral is "partial 16S ribosomal RNA". It matches the Rfam family "Bacterial small subunit ribosomal RNA", at positions 28 to 507 of the family's 1533-position model. The record is from RNAcentral.